Molecule: ribosomal RNA, 236 nt
Filed under: uncultured bacterium
Lineage: Bacteria
Description: partial 16S ribosomal RNA
Rfam family: Bacterial small subunit ribosomal RNA
Source: RNAcentral
UUGUUCGGAAUUACUGGGCGUAAAGGGCUCGUAGGUGGCCAACUAAGUCAGACGUGAAAUCCCUCGGCUUAACCGGGGAACUGCGUCUGAUACUGGAUGGCUAGAGAUUGGGAGAGGGAUGCGGAAUUCCAGGUGUAGCGGUGAAAUGCGUAGAUAUCUGGAGGAACACCGGUGGCGAAGGCGGCAUCCUGGACCAACACUGACGCUGAGGAGCGAAAGCCAGGGGAGCAAACGGG